GGUGAAGUCUCACUCUGUUGCCCAGGCUGGAGUGCAGUGGCACGAUCUCGGCUCGCUGCAACCUCCACCUCCCAGGUUCAAGCGAUCCUUCUGUUUCAGCCUCUCCAGUGGCUGGUAUUACAGGAACACACCACCAUGCCUGGCUAAUGCUUCUCUUUCUAUAAAUGAAGACGUGAGGCCGUGUAAGCUCCAAGAGAGCAGGGAUCUUGUUUGUCUUGGUCACCGUGAUAUUUCAGCUGCUGACCCAGUGCUUGAAGCAUAAAGAGAAACUGAGGCCCAUAAAAUUGAAUGGCUCAUCUCAGAUCAAGUGGCCAGAUCAAUGAAGAGAAGUGUCCUUAGGUCCGGCUGCUGGUGUGAAGUAUGCUCUGGAGGUCUGACAUCCACUCUCCCUCAGACUUUCUAAUACGGCAGGAAUUCCGUCCAUGAACUUUAUAAUAAACUGGAGCUAAAUCUGUCAGAAAAUGGAAGAAAUCUGGAUAGCAUUUCAGGAGCACUGGCAAAUGCCUACUCCUUACUUCCUAAUCCCAAACUGUCACACUGUGGCUGCACAUGUGCCCAAGCCCUUGUAUACUCAAGCUAGAGUUGCCAGAUGAAAUGGAGGACAUGGCUGGGUGCGGUGGCUCAGCUCGGAGCAGUGGCUCACGCCUGUAAUCCCAGCACUUUGGGAGGCCGAGGUGGGCUGAUGGCCUGAGGUCAGGAGUUCAAAACCAGCGUGGCCAACAAGAUGUGCCAGUUCUGGUAAAUUUCCUAGCAAGCUUGAAGGAAGUGAAGGACAACUGCAAGGAAGGGCAGGAUGGAGCAUGCAGCCCACGUAUUCCCCAGCUUGGUGGGGCAGAAUGCGUUCUUGGCUCCUGAGGAAUGGGCAGGCAACGCACAGGGGUCCUGGGAAGAAAGGGAGAGAAUAUCCUGGGAGAGCCAUAGACCCUGGCACCCUCCUGUGGUCCUUCAUCAGGAUAAAUUUCUAAAAGAAGAAUUACUGGCCAAAGGAUUCCUCUUCAGUUGGAAACAGCAGCAAAGUUCACAGGUCGUGAGUGGAUGUAAAGUGGACGGAACAGGUUGUUGCCAGUCUAUUGGAGUAGGAUGGUAGAUGAGCAGUCCCGUUGGCUAACAGGUGUGGGUAUGCCUGUUUUAAAAAUUAGCAUGUUGUAGGGGAAUAUUUCUCAAACUUUUGUCACGUAUCUACCUCUUAGGCAUUUUUUACUUUAUUCACCUGUACUACUAUUUAAUAUUUUUAAAAUUCAACUGAUUUUUUUUUUUGCUUAAAUACAUGUCUUUAAAACUGGAACUUUAUUCGCCACUGUAAAUGGAAAACCAGUGUCAUUUGCCAUAUAUAGAAGUGAACUAUAUAGUAAAUACGGUGAAAGUGAAAUGGUAUCAUCACACUUGUGCUAGAUUCCAUUUCCUAUAGAAGGUUCUGGGUUUCUUAAAAGGCUUGUUAAAAAGAGAGAUGAGUAAAUGUGAGAGGAAUUUAAGACAUACUAGCACCAUUAAGACUUUCUCCUUAAAGUAAUCUGGAGGAUUUAAAUUGAGAAUUGAAAAAAGUAACUUUAUUUUACAUAAGAAAUUAUGUAAAAGAAUUAUGUUAUUUAAUGCCACAUCCAUACGUCAUCAAGAGUCAACUUGGUGACCACUAGUGGCCCAUGUCCCACACUUUGAGAAACGUGUGUUGGGGUGGGAAUCUGAAGUCAGAAAAACUGGAGUAUGAUAACCACCUCAGCACUUAUUAGAGGCCUUCACUUGGGAAUGAUGACCCUUCCUUGUAGGGUUGUAGUGAGAAUGACAGAUAAUAUAUGAAAAGAUAAAACAUGGUGCCAGAGGCAUUAGCAGGUGCUGCGAAGGGGCUGUUGUAUUUCUUGUUAUACUGGAGUGGUUCUCCACCCUGGAUGCAUAUUAGAAUCAUCUGAAGGGCUUUUUAAAAAUACAGAUAUCAUGACCUCACCCCUGGAGAUCCUAAUUUAAUUGGUCAGGGGUAGGGUUCUGGCAUUGUUACUUGUUUAAAACAAAGUUCCUCCUCCUUCCCAGUGAUUUUAAUUUGUAGCCAGUGUUGGAAAAACCAUGGACUUAACCCUUUCCUAAGAGCUUAGAUCAAUUCUGCAGAUUAGCUAUCUGCCAUUUUGAAAAGGUGGCAUAAGCUCAGGGAAGUAUUCACUGGACAAAAGGAAUUCUGGAUGGCGGAAGCUCUAGGCACCAUCAGGCACUUGCUUUGUGCUGGAAGCUGCAUCAAAUGGCUUGAGCCCAAAGUAGACAUAAGGGCUCCUUAUUUCCCUGGACACUGGGAAAAUCAUUUCUCUUAUUCCAAGAGAACAAUUUUGCUGACCAUGGAAAUACUAUCUCUGGUUUCCAGAGGUACAGUGCUGUUCAGUGCUCUUCUGGAGGUUGUAGUAUGAAGAAAUGACAAAGCCAAAAAGGCAUUCUGACCUAGGGAGACUAUCUUUAAAGCAAAAUAUAAAUGUAGGGCAAAAACUCUGCGGUCUCAGGAGGAUUGGAUCCAGGGGAAAAUGUUUAAAAGGCAAACGUUUAGAAUCAAUUAUACAGCUUCAGCAAUGGUUUGCUAUUGUCUUGCUGUCUUUUUGUUUUGCUUUGUGUAGUGUUCAGAAUAUCUGCAUCAUGUAGCAUCUUUCUAUUUUUAGGAGUCUUUAAACUCCUUUAUUCUGAGGCCCCAGAAUAUUCUCAUCCACCACGUACUUUCACGUGGAGAUGACUGACUUCAUCUUUGACAAUGGCAGUUCCCUAACCUUGAUCCAGCACGGGAGCAGGAAUUAUGGCGAAAAUGGCCACCCAAACUGCACCCAGUGGGAAAACAGCAUUAACUCAGCUUUUAAAAAAGUGUCAACUUGGAAAAUCCAAGACCUAGAUCUGAUGCUUAGGGACCCACAAUGCCAGGC
RNAcentral lists this long non-coding RNA (2885 nucleotides) under Homo sapiens (human). RNAcentral describes it as "HSALNT0307074". The record is from RNAcentral. Lineage: Eukaryota; Metazoa; Chordata; Mammalia; Primates; Hominidae.